GGAUUAGAUACCCUGGUAGUCCACGCCCUAAACGAUGUCUACUAGUUGUCGGGUUUUAAUUAACUUGGUAACGCAGCUAACGCGUGAAGUAGACCGCCUGGGGAGUACGGUCGCAAGAUUAAAACUCAAAGGAAUUGACGGGGACCCGCACAAGCGGUGGAUGAUGUGGAUUAAUUCGAUGCAACGCGAAAAACCUUACCUACCCUUGACAUGUACGGAAUGCCGAAGAGAUUUGGCAGUGCUCGAAAGAGAACCGUAACACAGGUGCUGCAUGGCUGUCGUCAGCUCGUGCCG
RNAcentral lists this ribosomal RNA (294 nucleotides) under uncultured bacterium. RNAcentral describes it as "partial 16S ribosomal RNA". It matches the Rfam family "Bacterial small subunit ribosomal RNA", at positions 775 to 1067 of the family's 1533-position model. The record is from RNAcentral.